GGCUGGUCUGAGAGCAGUGGUGUUUACAACUAAUUGAUCACAACCAGUUACAGAUUCCUUUGUUCCUUCUCCACUCCCAUUGCUUCACUUGAUUAGCCUUAA
This 102-nucleotide Y RNA is filed under the name Prolemur simus (greater bamboo lemur). RNAcentral describes it as "Y RNA (ENSPSMG00000003056.1)". It matches the Rfam family "Y RNA". Rfam says of the family: Y RNAs are components of the Ro ribonucleoprotein particle (Ro RNP), in association with Ro60 and La proteins. The Y RNAs and Ro60 and La proteins are well conserved, but the function of the Ro RNP is not known. The record is from Rfam by way of RNAcentral. Lineage: Eukaryota; Metazoa; Chordata; Mammalia; Primates; Lemuridae.